AGUGAACGCUGGCGGUAGGCCUAACACAUGCAAGUCGAACGGCAGCACAGUAAGAGCUUGCUCUUACGGGUGGCGAGUGGCGGACGGGUGAGGAAUACAUCGGAAUCUACUUUUUCGUGGGGGAUAACGUAGGGAAACUUACGCUAAUACCGCAUACGACCUACGGGUGAAAGCAGGGGAUCUUCGGACCUUGCGCGAUUGAAUGAGCCGAUGUCGGAUUAGCUAGUUGGCGGGGUAAAGGCCCACCAAGGCGACGAUCCGUAGCUGGUCUGAGAGGAUGAUCGGCCACACUGGAACUGAGACACGGUCCAGACCCCUACGGGAGGCAGCAGUGGGGAAUAUUGGACAAUGGGCGCAAGCCUGAUCCAGCCAUACCGCGUGGGUGAAGAAGGCCUUCGGGUUGUAAAGCCCUUUUGUUGGGAAAGAAAAGCAGCAGGUUAAUACCCCGCUGUUCUGACGGUACCCAAAGAAUAAGCACCGGCUAACUUCGUG
RNAcentral lists this ribosomal RNA (492 nucleotides) under uncultured bacterium. RNAcentral describes it as "partial 16S ribosomal RNA". It matches the Rfam family "Bacterial small subunit ribosomal RNA", at positions 29 to 507 of the family's 1533-position model. The record is from RNAcentral.